GGAUCCAGACUUUGAUUCUGGCUCAGGACGAACGCUGGCGGCGCGCCUAACACAUGCAAGUCGAACGGAGUUUACGGGACUGAUCCUUCGGGUGAUCGAACGCAAACUUAGUGGCGGACGGGUGAGUGACACGUGAGCAACCUGCCCUACAGUGGGGGAUAACGUUUUGAAAAGAACGCUAAUACCGCAUAACGUACCGGAAGGGCAUCCUUCCGGUACCAAAGGAGCAAUCCGCUGUAAGAUGGGCUCGCGUCCGAUUAGCCAGUUGGCGGGGUAACGGCCCACCAAAGCGACGAUCGGUAGCCGGACUGAGAGGUUGAUCGGCCACAUUGGGACUGAGACACGGCCCAGACUCCUACGGGAGGCAGCAGUGGGGGAUAUUGCACAAUGGGGGAAACCCUGAUGCAGCGACGCCGCGUGAGGGAAGAAGGUUUUCGGAUUGUAAACCUCUGUCUUCGGUGACGAAAAUGACGGUAGCCGAGGAGGAAGCCACGGCUAACUACGUGCCAGCAGCCGCGGUAAUACGUAGGUGGCAAGCGUUGUCCGGAAUUAUUGGGUGUAAAGGGAGCGUAGGCGGGGAUACAAGUUGAAUGUUAAAACUAUGGGCUCAACCCAUAGUUGCGUUCAAAACUGUAUUUCUUGAGUGAAGUAGAGGUAAGCGGAAUUCCUAGUGUAGCGGUGAAAUGCGUAAAUAUUAGGAGGAACACCAGUGGCGAAGGCGGCUUACUGGGCUUUAACUGACGCUGAGGCUCGAAAGCGUGGGUAGCAAACAGGAUUAGAUACCCUGGUAGUCCACGCUGUAAACGAUGAUUACUAGGUGUGGGGGGACUGACCCCUUCCGUGCCGGAGUUAACACAAUAAGUAAUCCACCUGGGGAGUACGACCGCAAGGUUGCAACUCAAAUGAAUUGACGG
RNAcentral lists this ribosomal RNA (914 nucleotides) under uncultured Bacillota bacterium. RNAcentral describes it as "bacterial SSU rRNA". It matches the Rfam family "Bacterial small subunit ribosomal RNA", at positions 1 to 916 of the family's 1533-position model. Lineage: Bacteria; Bacillati; Bacillota. The record is from RNAcentral.